CUUCCAUUUCUCUGUGUCUUUGCAAGUUGCUUGUCCUCCUACCGAUGGUCCCAAGAUGUCAUGGCACCAGACAUAGGGAAUCUGUGUGAGUGAUGUCGAUGGUCUGUCUGUCCAGCUUGUCCCUAAAUUGAACCCAAGAAGAGAAGGAUCCUAGAAUCAUCAUUUUGCUGGGACAUCAUCUGUGUUCCACGCCUUGUGGAACACAUUUCUCUCUUCUGUCUGACUUGUCCUCUGAGCAACACUAAGCUCAUAGGAAGAUAUUUUUUUUUUACCUAAUCCGAGAAGAAAGGUGUGACUUAUUCCACUUUGAGGUGGAAAUAGCACCCUAUAACCCAACGCUUUCCAAACCACCAUCUACUAUUCUGGCAAAGGAGAUUCCCCAGGAUCCUAUGCUGGUCUUAGUCACUGUACCAGGCUGAGCUGCUCAAGAGAGCUCAGCAGGACCUCUCAGGAGUUUCUGUCUAGCGGUUUGGAGAUCUGGCUUGCCAUUCUGUUCAAAGUAAUGCGACUACACUGUUCGCCUGCUCCCAUCCACUGGAAUAUGCACUUUUGUUUCGGGACCAGUCUUUCUACUCAGAGUCUUCUGAAGUACCACAAACAUGAGUUGUAGCAGGACGCCACUCUUCUUCUAAGCUGCUCCGUGGGACAGAUGGAAGGACACCAGUGCAUGUCCACAUGUGCAGCUGAUGACCCUAGGAAGAUGGAGCCUCACCCCCACAGUUUGAAGAAAACAAUGACAUGGCAUCCCAUCACAACCGCAUAUUCCUUGUGAAUCUGAAUACCGUUCAAAUGGAGAAAUGAAAACGGAGCAUCCAGAUGUGCAGUGAAUAUUUUGUGUGACUCACAUCAGGAAUUGGCCUGAGCAUUGAGUUCAUCCCUUGUGCACUGCACUGAGGAGCUGUUCGCUCCGUGUCAUUAGUGCACCUGAUUUGCUGCAGUCCCUGCUUCAACUCAGGCCACAACUGGGUUGGUUAGGUGAGUUUCUGAUUGGGGUGGAGGGACGCUUGCCCUUUAAACCUAUCUGACAUACUUUUGUUCUUCCUUAUUUCUUUCCCCCUUUCCCAUUUAUCAUAAUAAAGAAACAAACAGCUUUCAAACCUGGGCUACCCAGGCAAUGUCCCUGAAAAAAUGUCAUACAUAGAGAGCUGCUUCUCCUGGACCUGGUCUCCACAAUGAGGAUGACUGGGUGGCUGGUCAAGAAUGAAAUUCACACCAGGGCGAGAUUCAGAAUCACAAGAGGGCUGGCAACAUGUCUGUCUGUCCACUGAGUGCUUGUUUCCCUUGUGAGAUGUGAGUACAUUCCCCAGCAAGCAUGGGAAAGAAGCAGCAGGCCUGCUGAGGCUUGCUACCAAGCACUUGGACAUAGAGACAAAG
RNAcentral lists this long non-coding RNA (1374 nucleotides) under Cricetulus griseus (Chinese hamster). RNAcentral's name for it is "lncRNA (ENSCGRG00015032920.1)". Lineage: Eukaryota; Metazoa; Chordata; Mammalia; Rodentia; Cricetidae. The record is from RNAcentral.